This 508-nucleotide long non-coding RNA is filed under the name Suricata suricatta (meerkat). RNAcentral's name for it is "lncRNA (ENSSSUG00005001014.1)". The record is from RNAcentral. Lineage: Eukaryota; Metazoa; Chordata; Mammalia; Carnivora; Herpestidae.
GAGUUCAUUCAACCAGAUCUGUGGUAACAAUCGUUACUAGGCUGCAGUUCUCUUUUUCAGAUUUACAGAACAUCCAGGUGGAAUUCAUUACUGUGAAUCACCCAGCAUGGUCCCCUGGCAGCAGAUUAAGAAAACAGUCUAAAUUAGAGAUGGCUGCACUGCUAAACUUAUUCCUCGUUCAAAAUAUUGGAAAGUUAGGAACUGCUACUGAAGGACGGCCUUGUACCACAGAGACCAGGACAUACUGCCUUAGGAAGGAAUGGAAUCAGCACUGUAGAGGCAGUCUGGCUUCAGUGUCCACUUGCUUUUGAUGUUGGAAGAGUGGAGAUAAUGUGUUCGAGAAGGUCAACAGUUGGAUAUAGAAUAAAGAAGUAUUUGGGGGGAGUCACUCUUACCUCCUCUACUCUAAGGAAGACCGUGUUUUUAUUUUUUUAUCUCUUUGCUUGGAAACUGCAUGAAAUUUUGUUCCCCUUAAUUUAGUCUAUUUUCUUCUAAGAUAAAGGAUAUU